This 468-nucleotide ribosomal RNA is filed under the name uncultured bacterium. Its description in RNAcentral is "partial 16S ribosomal RNA". It matches the Rfam family "Bacterial small subunit ribosomal RNA", at positions 28 to 507 of the family's 1533-position model. The record is from RNAcentral.
GACGAACGCUGGCGGCGUGCUUAACACAUGCGAGUCGAACGGAAAGGCCCUGCUUUUGUGGGGUGCUCGAGUGGCGAACGGGUGAGUAACACGUGAGUAACCUGCCCUUGACUUUGGGAUAACUUCAGGAAACUGGGGCUAAUACCGGAUAGGAGCUCCUGCUGCAUGGUGGGGGUUGGAAAGUUUCGGCGGUUGGGGAUGGACUCGCGGCUUAUCAGCUUGUUGGUGGGGUAGUGGCUUACCAAGGCUUUGACGGGUAGCCGGCCUGAGAGGGUGACCGGCCACAUUGGGACUGAGAUACGGCCCAGACUCCUACGGGAGGCAGCAGUGGGGAAUAUUGCACAAUGGGCGGAAGCCUGAUGCAGCAACGCCGCGUGCGGGAUGACGGCCUUCGGGUUGUAAACCGCUUUCGCCUGUGACGAAGCGUGAGUGACGGUAAUGGGUAAAGAAGCGCCGGCUAACUACGUG